ACAGCAGCCGCCGCGGUAAUACGGAGGGUGCAAGCGUUAAUCGGAAUUACUGGGCGUAAAGCGCACGCAGGCGGUCUGUCAAGUCAGAUGUGAAAUCCCCGGGCUUAACCUGGGAACUGCAUUUGAAACUGGCAGGCUAGAGUCUUGUAGAGGGGGGUAGAAUUCCAGGUGUAGCGGUGAAAUGCGUAGAGAUCUGGAGGAAUACCGGUGGCGAAGGCGGCCCCCUGGACAAAGACUGACGCUCAGGUGCGAAAGCGUGGGGAGCAAACAGGAUUAGAGACCCGGUAGUCCCUGUCUCUUAUACA
Molecule: ribosomal RNA, 305 nt
Filed under: uncultured bacterium
Lineage: Bacteria
Description: partial 16S ribosomal RNA
Rfam family: Bacterial small subunit ribosomal RNA
Source: RNAcentral